GAGACAUUAGUAAAAUAAUUACAAAAUCUUGUCAUGAUUAAAUUAUAAGUUAAAAUCUUAUACGUCUCU
Molecule: transfer RNA, 69 nt
Filed under: Hynobius amjiensis (Amji salamander)
Lineage: Eukaryota; Metazoa; Chordata; Amphibia; Caudata; Hynobiidae
Description: tRNA-Asp
Source: RNAcentral